AAUAAAAUGGCUGAGAUUAAGCAUUAGAUUGUAAAUCUAACUACGAAUUACUAAAUUCUUUUAUUA
This 66-nucleotide transfer RNA is filed under the name Pagurus similis. RNAcentral's name for it is "tRNA-Tyr". It matches the Rfam family "tRNA". From Rfam's summary of the family: Transfer RNA (tRNA) molecules are approximately 80 nucleotides in length. Their secondary structure includes four short double-helical elements and three loops (D, anti-codon, and T loops). Lineage: Eukaryota; Metazoa; Arthropoda; Malacostraca; Decapoda; Paguridae. The record is from RNAcentral.